UAAUACGUAGGGCGCAAGCGUUGUCCGGAAUUAUUGGGCGUAAAGAGCUCGUAGGCGGUUUGUCACGUCGGCUGUGAAAACCCGAGGCUCAACCUCGGGCCUGCAGUCGAUACGGGCAGACUAGAGUGCUGUAGGGGAGACUGGAAUUCCUGGUGUAGCGGUGAAAUGCGCAGAUAUCAGGAGGAACACCGGUGGCGAAGGCGGGUCUCUGGGCAGUAACUGACGCUGAGGAGCGAAAGCGUGGGGAGCAAACAGGAUUAGAUACCCUGGUAGUCCACGCCGUAAACGUUGGGCGCUAGGUGUGGGCUGUCUUCCACGCAGUCCGUGCCGCAGCUAACGCAUUAAGCGCCCCGCCUGGGGAGUACGGCCGCAAGGCUA
Molecule: ribosomal RNA, 378 nt
Filed under: uncultured bacterium
Lineage: Bacteria
Description: bacterial SSU rRNA
Rfam family: Bacterial small subunit ribosomal RNA
Source: RNAcentral